ACGGAUGCUCCGUCCUGUGGGGUAACCGAAGGACGCCCCUGCCUUAGGUUCCCAGAGAGGCUCGCACAGCACCGCCCUGGCUGGGCGAGGCUGUGGAGAGGGAAAGUGCUCGCCCGAGCCCCCCACCUCAACCCCUCCUUUCCCGUGGAGGGGGAGGCCGAUGCUCGGUGCUAGCCCUGGAUGUCCUGCAAAUUGCAGCGGAAGGAGAAAGUAGCAAAUAAAGCUUUGCUGUAAGCGUA
This is a long non-coding RNA of Mesocricetus auratus (golden hamster), 239 nucleotides long. RefSeq lists it as uncharacterized. The transcript has 2 exons. The record is from RefSeq and is a predicted model, not a curated record. NCBI's taxonomy places the organism in Eukaryota, Metazoa, Chordata, Mammalia, Rodentia, Cricetidae.